RNAcentral lists this ribosomal RNA (2076 nucleotides) under Salmonella enterica. RNAcentral describes it as "partial 23S ribosomal RNA". It matches the Rfam family "Bacterial large subunit ribosomal RNA", at positions 830 to 2802 of the family's 2925-position model. The record is from RNAcentral. Lineage: Bacteria; Pseudomonadati; Pseudomonadota; Gammaproteobacteria; Enterobacterales; Enterobacteriaceae. RNAcentral also lists the same sequence under 2 other names.
CAAUCAAACCGGGAGAUAGCUGGUUCUCCCCGAAAGCUAUUUAGGUAGCGCCUCGUGAAUUCAUCUCCGGGGGUAGAGCACUGUUUCGGCUAGGGGGCCAUCCCGGCUUACCAACCCGAUGCAAACUGCGAAUACCGGAGAAUGUUAUCACGGGAGACACACGGCGGGUGCUAACGUCCGUCGUGAAGAGGGAAACAACCCAGACCGCCAGCUAAGGUCCCAAAGUCAUGGUUAAGUGGGAAACGAUGUGGGAAGGCCCAGACAGCCAGGAUGUUGGCUUAGAAGCAGCCAUCAUUUAAAGAAAGCGUAAUAGCUCACUGGUCGAGUCGGCCUGCGCGGAAGAUGUAACGGGGCUAAACCAUGCACCGAAGCUGCGGCAGCGAACGUAUCACCCAAGACAACUUUACGGAGUUGACGAUUGACGGAGCGAAGCGACGUCAAAGCGUUCAUUAAAGUCGAGUUGGCUUAGGGAUACGUUCGUUGGGUAGGGGAGCGUUCUGUAAGCCUGUGAAGGUGUGUCGUGAGGCAUGCUGGAGGUAUCAGAAGUGCGAAUGCUGACAUAAGUAACGAUAAAGCGGGUGAAAAGCCCGCUCGCCGGAAGACCAAGGGUUCCUGUCCAACGUUAAUCGGGGCAGGGUGAGUCGACCCCUAAGGCGAGGCCGAAAGGCGUAGUCGAUGGGAAACGGGUUAAUAUUCCCGUACUUGGUGUUACUGCGAAGGGGGGACGGAGAAGGCUAUGUUGGCCGGGCGACGGUUGUCCCGGUUUAAGCGUGUAGGUGUGUGUUCCAGGUAAAUCCGGUUCACUUUAACACUGAGGCGUGACGACGAGGCACUACGGUGCUGAAGCAACAAAUGCCCUGCUUCCAGGAAAAGCCUCUAAGCAUCAGGUAACAUCAAAUCGUACCCCAAACCGACACAGGUGGUCAGGUAGAGAAUACCAAGGCGCUUGAGAGAACUCGGGUGAAGGAACUAGGCAAAAUGGUGCCGUAACUUCGGGAGAAGGCACGCUGACACGUAGGUGAAGUGAUUUACUCAUGGAGCUGAAGUCAGUCGAAGAUACCAGCUGGCUGCAACUGUUUAUUAAAAACACAGCACUGUGCAAACACGAAAGUGGACGUAUACGGUGUGACGCCUGCCCGGUGCCGGAAGGUUAAUUGAUGGGGUCAGCGCAAGCGAAGCUCCUGAUCGAAGCCCCGGUAAACGGCGGCCGUAACUAUAACGGUCCUAAGGUAGCGAAAUUCCUUGUCGGGUAAGUUCCGACCUGCACGAAUGGCGUAAUGAUGGCCAGGCUGUCUCCACCCGAGACUCAGUGAAAUUGAACUCGCUGUGAAGAUGCAGUGUACCCGCGGCAAGACGGAAAGACCCCGUGAACCUUUACUAUAGCUUGACACUGAACAUUGAGCCUUGAUGUGUAGGAUAGGUGGGAGGCUUUGAAGUGUGGACGCCAGUCUGCAUGGAGCCGACCUUGAAAUACCACCCUUUAAUGUUUGAUGUUCUAACGUGGACCCGUAAUCCGGGUUGCGGACAGUGUCUGGUGGGUAGUUUGACUGGGGCGGUCUCCUCCUAAAGAGUAACGGAGGAGCACGAAGGUUGGCUAAUCCUGGUCGGACAUCAGGAGGUUAGUGCAAUGGCAUAAGCCAGCUUGACUGCGAGCGUGACGGCGCGAGCAGGUGCGAAAGCAGGUCAUAGUGAUCCGGUGGUUCUGAAUGGAAGGGCCAUCGCUCAACGGAUAAAAGGUACUCCGGGGAUAACAGGCUGAUACCGCCCAAGAGUUCAUAUCGACGGCGGUGUUUGGCACCUCGAUGUCGGCUCAUCACAUCCUGGGGCUGAAGUAGGUCCCAAGGGUAUGGCUGUUCGCCAUUUAAAGUGGUACGCGAGCUGGGUUUAGAACGUCGUGAGACAGUUCGGUCCCUAUCUGCCGUGGGCGCUGGAGAACUGAGGGGGGCUGCUCCUAGUACGAGAGGACCGGAGUGGACGCAUCACUGGUGUUCGGGUUGUCAUGCCAAUGGCACUGCCCGGUAGCUAAAUGCGGAAGAGAUAAGUGCUGAAAGCAUCUAAGCACGAAACUUGCCCCGA